GUAUUAUUUAACACUUUUCAUCUGAAGAUUAAAAAGUAUUUUGCAAACAGUAUCUCAAUAAUCCUAGCAACCUCCCUGUUAGGGUGUUUGCAGGAUUUUUUUCCUUUUUCCCGUAAUUGGAAGAACUGAAACAGAAGCAGAAGCAGGGCUUUUUACACAGAUAUCUACUGUCAGCAUCUGAGCCUGAACCAGGAUCCAAGUGUAUUCUCAUCAAGGUGAGCAAAGAGGUUACAGAACUCACCCAAAGCCAGAGUUAGUAAAUGGAAGAACUGGAAUUUGCACCCAGGCAAUCUUGCUCCAUGUGGUGAAUUGCUAUACUAGACGGUUCUUCAAAAUGAAAACUCCAGAGAUGUAAUGUCUCAUGUCACACAGUGAGUCUGUGAGGAGUCUAGGAAUAGACUCUGACUCAACUUGCUGGAUAAUACCUAUGACUUCUUCACUGCCAAACCCAGAGUAAUGGAAGCCCCAUGGCUGGAUACUUUGUUGUUUAUAUUCCACGUGUUUAUUAUACUCUAGGAGCAUGAGUGGAUUCAAUGCCUUUAAAAAGCACCCAGUGGAAUUAAAUACUUCCCACAAUAGUUUGGCAAAAAUGGAAGUAAUUACAAAGAAUGUCUGUACACAUUUUAA
Molecule: non-coding RNA, 627 nt
Organism: Macaca mulatta (Rhesus monkey)
Lineage: Eukaryota; Metazoa; Chordata; Mammalia; Primates; Cercopithecidae
Source: RefSeq, a predicted model, not a curated record